CAAUGUGGAGACUAUAUACAGGGGGGUACCGGUACAGAGUCAAUGUGGAGACUAUAUACAGGGGGGUACCGGUACAGAGUCAAUGUGGAGACUAUAUACAGGGGGGUACCGGUACAGAGUCAAUGUGGAGACUAUAUACAGGGGGUACCGGUACAGAGUCAAUAUGGAGACUAUAUACAGGGGGUACCGGUACAGAGUCAAUAUGGAGACUAUAUACAGGGGGGUACCGGUACAGAGUCAAUAUGGAGACUAUAUACAGGGGGUACCGGUACAGAGUCAAUAUGGAGACUAUAUACAGGGGGUACCGGUACAGAGUCAAUGUGGAGGCUAUAUACAGGGGGUACCUGUACAGAGUCAAUGUGGAGGCUAUAUACAGGGGGUACCGGUAGAGAGUCAAUGUGGAGACUAUAUACAGGGGGUACCGGUACAGAGUCAAUGUGGAGGCUAUAUACAGGGGGUACCGGUAC
This 467-nucleotide long non-coding RNA is filed under the name Salmo salar (Atlantic salmon). RNAcentral's name for it is "lncRNA (ENSSSAG00000098851.1)". Lineage: Eukaryota; Metazoa; Chordata; Actinopteri; Salmoniformes; Salmonidae. The record is from RNAcentral.